Molecule: long non-coding RNA, 351 nt
Filed under: Ananas comosus (pineapple)
Lineage: Eukaryota; Viridiplantae; Streptophyta; Magnoliopsida; Poales; Bromeliaceae
Description: long non-coding RNA (ACOM_LNC015432)
Source: RNAcentral
ACAAUCAAUCCUUUAUUAAAGACUUUUUUUGCAUUUGGCCCCCUAAAAAAAUAAUUUUCAUAAAUAAUCUUAUCAAAUUUAUAAUUAUAAUUUUGGUCCUAUUCCUACCACGCAGGCGCCACCAAGCAAGGAUGAAAAUGCUAAAAUAAAUUGAAUGUAAUAAUUCAUUCACCGUAUCUAAACACAGUAACAUAUAAGUAUGGAACACGAUAAAUCAUCAUUGUGUUUGACCGUAUUCAACUUAGCGUCCCUCUCCAGCCAGCUUAUGUGGUACUGAUGUGACACUUACGUGACGGGAAUAAAAUCAAAAUUAUAAUUAUUAAUUUAAUAGAGCUAUUUAUAAAAAAAAAA